AUUGAACGCUGGCGGCAGGCCUAACACAUGCAAGUCGAGCGGAUGAAGGGAGCUUGCUCUUGGAUUCAGCGGCGGACGGGCGAGUAAUGCCCAGGAAUCUGCCUUGUAGUGCGGGAUAACGUCCGUAAACGGGCGCUAAUACCGCAUACGUCCUGAGGGAGAAAGUGGGGGAUCCUCGGAGCUCACGCUUUCUGAUGAGCCUAGGUCGGAUUAGCUAGUUGGUAGGGUAAAGGCCUACCAAGGCGACGAUCCGUAACUGGUCUGAGAGGAUGAUCAGCCACACUGGAACUGAGACACGGUCCAGACUCCUACGGGAGGCAGCAGUCGGGAAUCUUGGACAAAGGGCGAAAGCCUGAUCCAGCCAUGCCGCGUGAGUGAAGAAGGUCUUCGGAUUGUAAAGCACUUUAAGUUGGGAAGAAGGGCAGUAAGUUAAUACCUUGCUGUUUUGACGUUACCAACAGAAUAAGCACCGGCUAACUUCGUG
RNAcentral lists this ribosomal RNA (484 nucleotides) under uncultured bacterium. Its description in RNAcentral is "partial 16S ribosomal RNA". It matches the Rfam family "Bacterial small subunit ribosomal RNA", at positions 30 to 507 of the family's 1533-position model. The record is from RNAcentral.